UCACUUAGAGAUGGGCCUGCGUACCAUUAGCUAGUUGGUAGGGUAACGGCCUACCAAGGCAAAGAUGGUUAGCUGGUCUGAGAGGAUGAUCAGCCACACUGGAACUGAGACACGGUCCAG
RNAcentral lists this ribosomal RNA (120 nucleotides) under uncultured bacterium. RNAcentral describes it as "partial 16S ribosomal RNA". It matches the Rfam family "Bacterial small subunit ribosomal RNA", at positions 215 to 334 of the family's 1533-position model. The record is from RNAcentral.